Molecule: small RNA, 3785 nt
Filed under: Rattus norvegicus (Norway rat)
Lineage: Eukaryota; Metazoa; Chordata; Mammalia; Rodentia; Muridae
Description: uncharacterized LOC103690087
Source: RNAcentral
UUUACCAGAUAAGCUUUUUAAAAAAUUAUGUUCAACAAUUAUCUUUUUAUUGUAGUUAAGUUUUUCAAAUUCUUGCUGUUUUCAAUAUCUCCUGGUUUCAUCAUCCCUACUGAGAAAUUACGUAUACAAUCUUAUAAUUAAUUGUUUGCUUUGGUCUUCUUUUAUUUUCCUGCUUUAUGAUAAAAUUUUCAUUAGCCUAAAUGUGUUAUUAAUUUUUCUUGUUUCUUAAAUAUUUGUUCAAUAUUAUAUUCACAACUUUAAGUUCAAAGGAUCAGUUUUCUGAACAGAUCUUCAUACACUAUAAAUUCCUUGUUGUAUGACCAUCUCUAAUAAUUUUAUUUUUAAUUUUUAGGUAAUGCCUGAUUAUAAUUUAAAUAAGGACGUUGACAAAAAUUAAUGAACCAUUUGCACAAAAAAUAUUUGAAUCAACAUUUAUUCACUCCUGGAAGAUAUUAAAUAUUUCAACAGAAUAUUCCAAUGGAUGGAACUUUUUCCAGCAUCUGGAUUAUUUUCCAGGUUAGACACAUGUUUGUCCACAGACUUGUCUUCUCUGAAUGAAAUCCAAAAGUUGUUUUUACUCCUAGAACCCUCAAAGCCUCUCUGUUUUUUGUCUAUCUAUUUUGCUCACUGUUGUUGAAUCUAUAUUCUUCAAAUGUGCCUUUACCAAGUCUCCAAAAUCACUGUGAGUAUAUGAUUCUCUGGGUAUGAGGUUGUGUAGUCAUGUCAAAUUAAAAUUUAAUAUUCCACAUACAGUCUGCACAGACAAAUAUAAGAAAUUUUGUAAUAACAUUUGUCUUGGUUAGUGUUGAUAGCUGAAUGCGAUUUCUUAUUCUACUGUGGAUCAAUAGAUCAAGAUUCCUUCAGAGAGGAAAGGCAAGUACCCAAAGGUUUUCUUCUAAUGACUGAAACACGUGGUCAGAAGACACACUAUUAACACUCGUCCUAAUAAUUUUUCAGCUAAAGAGUUGGGAAUGUAAGGAAAGGAAAUGGCUAGACUAUUCAAGAUUCUACUGGCAGAUUAUUUGUGAUGGUUGGUCUCUUUUUGCCUCCUAGAACAUUCAAGAGUACUUCAAGAUGCAAAGGAAAGAAGAGUUAAGAAAAGAAGGCCUUUCAUAACAUAUUGUUCCACAGGGGCUCUGAGCCCCACCAGGACAAAGUUUUCACAGUUGCUAGAGUUAACAAGACACGAAACCUACUAGGAAAAGACCUGACUUCUAUUUGCCAUGAUGGAAAACUCCCCACAGUAAUUCUGGAAUGUUUUAUGUUACUAUCUGCCUUAUGGACAAGAUCCUGCUUCUUAAAUGAACCCUAAUCUCUUCAAUUCCAUCAGCAUGAAGAGAAACAAUUGUGCAUCAAAUCAUUGGCUAUACAAUAAGGAUAUGCUGUCUCUCAACAAAGAAAAUGGAACCAAAACUGAGGGUAUAUUGGCAAUAUCACUAAACAUAGCAUCAUGUCAAACAAUAAAGAAGUUGGAUUGUGAAAAAGAUGUAAACAUAAAAACAAUCCAUCUGUGCAUAUGGUAGCAUGUAUCUUAAAGGAAUUACUUCAAAUUAUCAAAGGAAAUUUGCUGACAUCUAGACUAUAUGAAGAAUGACUUGGGGUACAUGACCAGGUCAAUGAAGAAGAGAAAGUAGCCACUGUGCAGAGUCCUUAUUUCAAAUACCUCCCACCAGGACCAAAUGUGUAUGGUCUUGUCUAUUGAUAAGACAGAAAACCUACUUGAAAAAGAGCUGACAACAAUUUGUGAUGAUCGAAAUCUGCCCACAGAAAUUCUGGAUAUGCUGUUCUUCAUCCAAGAAAAGGGGCCCCAAAUUCAGGAUAUAUCCAUAAUUUCACACAACAUAGCAUCAUGAAGAAGUUGGAUUGUGAAGAAGAUGUAAACAUAAAAAAAUAAUCCAUCUGUGUAUAUGGUAGCAUGUAUCUUAAAGAACUUGCUUAAACAACCAGACUGUGGGACUAACAAAAGUGAAGCUUCUCCUGCAUUUCUCUGAGGCCCAAUCCCAAAGCAGAUAUCCUGAUCCUCUGGAAUUACUUCAAAUCACUUAAGAAAGUCUGCUGACAUCUCGACUAUAUGAAGAAUGACUUGGAGUACCAGACCAAGUCAAUGAAGAAGAGAAAGUAGCCACUGUGCAGAGUCUUUUAGAAAACUACUGCACUCACAUGUUACUCUUCUAAGACAACGUUUCAAAUUAUUAUAUUAAGUUGAGAGGAAUUCUUCUGUGAACCAGAUGACAGCUUAUGAUUUAUCUGUUGUGCCAAGUAUCCUAUAUCUGCCUAGUUCCCACAAUAAACGAUUAGCAAAUGAUAUUGCCAAAAAGAUUUCUCUUAUAAACUUUCCAAUUGAAAACUCCCUGAAAUUAUUUGAAGAAGACUCAGUUUUAGUUUAUUAUGAGACCUCAUUAUUUCACCCUUAUGGAGUGGACUCUGAUUCCCAGAAUAAUCUUUCUAAUCCAGAAGGCAUGCGUGCUAUAAAAGGAAAAGGGCAUGCAAGAGCUAAGUGAAUUCAACUACAACAAACGAUGACAUACCUUCUUUCAUAGAAUCAGAGAAACCUGAAAAAUACAUUUUUUUAUAAAUCAAUUAAUUACUUGUGAAUCUGAUACCCGCAAAGUCAAUGUAUACAUAGCCCCACCAGCACCAAACAAAAAGCAACUUGUUGGGAAUUAUCAAAUUCUGCCAGCACCAAUAAAGAAAAAAACCCUUCUUAGCAAGUCUCUCAUGGAAAUCUUUCUUCUCCAAUACUGGAUAUAUUAGCUAUCAUUGCUGAAAAGGGACAAAAGUCAUAUAAAAUACUAAGAACACUAUCAGUUGAAUCACACUGGUACACGAGGGAUAAAAUUGAUGCUGAAUAAGAAGAGGUGAAUUGGAGUCAAGAAUCAGUCCUUGUUAUAGUAUCUGCUUUAUAGGGGGAUUUCAUUCUAAAUAUAUAAAGAAACUUGCUUUCUACAGAUUUAUGUAAUUUAUUUGGUGUCUCUGAUCAAGAAAUUUGAUCAAAAGAUUCUGCUAUCCAAAGAUAAUGAUACAGUAAAUUCUUCGGGAACCAUACAAAGAUAGAAGAAAUGCAUUUUUAAAGUUUUCUACCACAGAUGCCACAACAAAACUUCAUCCUACUAAAACACCUUAUUCAUGUGUUAUUAAAGAUUAAAAUUUCUCCCAUGAAGACUUAGACUCUUAACAGUUUAUCUGUUCACAUAACCCCUAUAUUCCAUGGCAUUCUACUUCCAGCAACUCGUUAUUUGGGAAUGACCUUUCCAAAAAGAUUUCUAUUGAAGAAAUUCUAACUGAAAACUAGCUCUAGAUAUUUGGAGAUGACGAUCAUACAUUUUAUAAAGAUAUUCCAAAAAGGUCUGAUGACAUAAAAAUGUCUUCAGGUUCACUAAAUACUGUUGAUAGAGCAUGUGCUAUGAAAGAUGCCAUAAGUGACCCCCCUGAGAAAACCUUCUUUAAUGCUAAUGCUGAAAAAUUAAAGAUUCCAUUUGCUGCCCCUCAGAAGGAAGGUCCUACAGAGAGCAGGGCACAACAAACAGCUUCUAUAUGUUCCGUGUUUAACAGUGGAAUCAAUGGCAGAGGAUGACUGAAGAUGCUUACAGCUCAUUCUACUUCAAAGUUCCUUUCCACCUCCCAUUCAACAAUAGAAGAAUAUAUCAUUACAAGACACUGCAGCUUUUAUAUUUUACAUUAUUGUUACAAAGAGUUGUCACUGAUCAUUUUGACUUUAUGCUAUAUAUUACACAUUCUUUAUUAUUAUAAUGAAUGUUAUUAAACUAUAAUAUUGAUUAAACUCC